This is a long non-coding RNA of Haliotis rubra (blacklip abalone), 240 nucleotides long. RefSeq lists it as uncharacterized. The record is from RefSeq and is a predicted model, not a curated record. NCBI's taxonomy places the organism in Eukaryota, Metazoa, Mollusca, Gastropoda, Lepetellida, Haliotidae. The transcript is spliced from 3 exons.
UCCAGGCAAUUUUACGAGUGUGGAAGUCUUGUUCUCUUGUCCCAAGGAAACAGACAGACAUGGCGACAUAAAAUAUUACACACUGUCGUAUGAAGCUGAGGUAGACAAUGACAACAAUGUGACAGAAAGUCCCAAAGGAUUGAACAUUUCAGCUGAACCUGAGUCGAACUGUAACUACUCACAGGUUGUAUCCGUGACACCACAAACAAACUACACUUUUUCGGUACAAGCAUUCAACAC